This 552-nucleotide ribosomal RNA is filed under the name uncultured bacterium. RNAcentral describes it as "partial 16S ribosomal RNA". It matches the Rfam family "Bacterial small subunit ribosomal RNA", at positions 355 to 898 of the family's 1533-position model. The record is from RNAcentral.
UAGGGAAUCUUCCACAAUGGACGCAAGUCUGAUGGAGCAACGCCGCGUGAGUGAAGAAGGUUUUCGGACCGUAAAGCUCUGUUGUUGGUGAAGAAGGAUAGAGGUAGUAACUGGCCUUUAUUUGACGGUAAUCAACCAGAAAGUCACGGCUAACUACGUGCCAGCAGCCGCGGUAAUACGUAGGUGGCAAGCGUUGUCCGGAUUUAUUGGGCGUAAAGCGAGCGCAGGCGGAAGAAUAAGUCUGAUGUGAAAGCCCUCGGCUUAACCGAGGAAUUGCAUCGGAAACUGUUUUCUUGAGUGCAGAAGAGGAGAGUAGAACUCCAUGUGUAGCGGUGGAAUGCGUAGAUAUAUGGAAGAAUACCAGUGGCGAAGGCGGCUCUCUGGUCUGCAACUGACGCUGAGGCUCGAAAGCAUGGGUAGCGAACAGGAUUAGAUACCCUGGUAGUCCAUGCCGUAAACGAUGAGUGCUAAGUGUUGGGAGGCUUCCGCCUCUCAGUGCUGCAGCUAACGCAUUAAGCACUCCGCCUGGGGGAGUACGACCGCAAGGUUGAA